CGACCUCAGAUCAGGCGGGACUACCCGCCGGAUUUCAGCAUAUUAAUAAGCGGAAGAAAGAAACAACCGUGAUUCCCUUAGUAGCGGCGAGCGAACCGGGAAAGCCCAUCGCCGAAUCUCGCC
Molecule: non-coding RNA, 123 nt
Filed under: Acyrthosiphon pisum (pea aphid)
Lineage: Eukaryota; Metazoa; Arthropoda; Insecta; Hemiptera; Aphididae
Description: Eukaryotic large subunit ribosomal RNA
Rfam family: Eukaryotic large subunit ribosomal RNA
Source: Rfam by way of RNAcentral